Molecule: ribosomal RNA, 737 nt
Filed under: uncultured euryarchaeote
Lineage: Archaea; Methanobacteriati; Methanobacteriota
Description: SSU rRNA
Rfam family: Archaeal small subunit ribosomal RNA
Source: RNAcentral
GAGGGGCAUACCCUCGGGAAACUGAGGCUAAUUCCCCAUAGGAUUUGGUGACUGGAAUGUCCCAAAACCCAAAGCUUCGGCGCCAUAAGAUGGGCCUGCGGCCUAUCAGGUUGUUGGCGGGGUAAUGGCCCACCAAGCCUUUGACGGGUAGGGGCAGUGAGAGCUGAAGCCCCCAGACGGGCACUGAGAUACUGGCCCGAGCCUUACGGGGUGCAGCAGGCGCGAAACCUUUACAAUGCACGCAAGUGUGAUAAGGGAACUCCAAGUGCCAUUGCUUUUUGUGAUGGCUUUUUUUGAGUGUAAAUAGCUCUAAGAAUAAGAGCUGGGUAAGACAGGUGCCAGCAGCCGCGGUAAUACCUGCAGCUCAAGUGGUCUGGAUUUUUAUUGGGUCUAAAGCGUUUGUAGCCGGACUCGCAAGUCUUCUGUGAAAUCUGACGGCUUAACCGUCAGGCGUGCAGGGGAAACUACAAGUCUAGGGACCGGGAAGGGCCAAAGAUACUCUAGGGGUAGGGGUGAAAUCCAAUAAUCCUUAGGGGAUCGCCAGUGGCGAAGGCGUUUGGCUAGAACGGGUCCGACGGUGAGGGACGAAAGCUAGGGGAGCGAACGGGAUUAGAUACCCCGGUAGUCCUAGCCGUAAAUGAUGUGGACUAGGUGUUGCAUUCCCCUUGUGGGAAUGCAGUGCCGAAGGGAAGCCGUUAAGUUCACCACCUGGGAAGUACGUCGCAAGGCCGAAACUU